UACAGAGGUCUCAAGCGUUGUUCGGAUUCAUUGGGCGUAAAGAGCUCGUAGGCGGCUUGUCACGUCGGCUGUGAAAACCUGGGGCUCAACCCCGGGCCUGCAGCCGAUACGGGCAAGCUAGAAUUCGGUAGGGGAGACUGGAAUUCCUGGUGUAGCGGUGAAAUGCGCGGAUAUCAGGAGGAACACCGGUGGCGAAGGCGGGUCUCUGGGCCGAUAUUGACGCUGAGGAGCGAAAGCCAGGGGAGCAAACGGG
RNAcentral lists this ribosomal RNA (253 nucleotides) under uncultured bacterium. RNAcentral describes it as "partial 16S ribosomal RNA". It matches the Rfam family "Bacterial small subunit ribosomal RNA", at positions 524 to 776 of the family's 1533-position model. The record is from RNAcentral.